ACAACAGCUUUGACGGGAAGAAGUAAAAAUAAGCGGAACGGACAGAAAGCAACCGGUCGAUGAGAGGUGCACGGAAAACUUAUUUCGAAUACAUCCCCGAGCUUCACACCAAAUUCGUAUUUCUAAGGAUGCGAUAGUAGGCUGUGACGUAGCGGUGCACGUUAUAAGCACCUGAGUGUUGUCGGACACUCGAUGAGGCAGACAAUGUGAAUUGCCUGCGAACAAAGGUGGUAACACGAGUUUUUUCCUCGUCCUUUUU
RNAcentral lists this non-coding RNA (259 nucleotides) under Roseburia intestinalis. RNAcentral's name for it is "T-box sequence". It matches the Rfam family "T-box leader". Rfam says of the family: Uncharged tRNA acts as the effector for transcription antitermination of genes in the T-box leader family. Lineage: Bacteria; Bacillati; Bacillota; Clostridia; Lachnospirales; Lachnospiraceae. The record is from RNAcentral.